RNAcentral lists this ribosomal RNA (501 nucleotides) under uncultured bacterium. Its description in RNAcentral is "partial 16S ribosomal RNA". It matches the Rfam family "Bacterial small subunit ribosomal RNA", at positions 30 to 523 of the family's 1533-position model. The record is from RNAcentral.
AUUGAACGCUGGCGGCAGGCUUAACACAUGCAAGUCGAGCGGGGGAAGGUAGCUUGCUACUGGACCUAGCGGCGGACGGGUGAGUAAUGCUUAGGAAUCUGCCUAUUAGUGGGGGACAACAUCUCGAAAGGGAUGCUAAUACCGCAUACGUCCUACGGGAGAAAGCAGGGGAUCUUCGGACCUUGCGCUAAUAGAAGAGCCUAAGUCGGAUUAGCUAGUUGGUGGGGUAAAGGCCUACCAAGGCGACGAUCUGUAGCGGGUCUGAGAGGAUGGACCGCCACACUGGGACUGAGACACGGCCCAGACUCCUACGGGAGGCAGCAGUGGGGAAUAUUGGACAAUGGGGGGAACCCUGAUCCAGCCAUGCCGCGUGUGUGAAGAAGGCCUUAUGGUUGUAAAGCACUUUAAGCGAGGAGGAGGCUACUCUAGUUAAUACCUAGGGAUAGUGGACGUUACUCGCAGAAUAAGCACCGGCUAACUCUGUGCCAGCAGCCGCCGUAA